RNAcentral lists this non-coding RNA (29 nucleotides) under Rattus norvegicus (Norway rat). The record is from RNAcentral. Lineage: Eukaryota; Metazoa; Chordata; Mammalia; Rodentia; Muridae.
UACAUGACCAGGGAGUAUCCCUCUCUGUU